UGAUACUCUCUUUUUUUUCCCUAUUUUUUGUUCUUCGUAGGCCUCUUUGGAAAGGAAGUUUAAAAAAGAAGAUGAUUAAUGUUCGAAACUAUGGAAGCAAUGGCCUUUCUUUCGAAUGUUACGAAAAUCUUUUCUGUAGAGGAUUUGAUUUCAUCAACCUUCUCAAAGGAUCAAUGUACCAAUAGUGCAGAUACGGAUACCUCUACUUCUCAUAACGCUCAGAAAAAAAGGCCACGAAACAUAUUUGAUGAAGAUAACCUACAACACUCCGAAGAAUGAUAAGUCCUUUAAUAAGAUCCAACAAAAAAGAGGCAUAUCUGAUAUGGAUUCUACUGUUGUCACGUAUAAAUUACUUUCAUGUAUUAAUGUUGGCACUACUUUUUCCCUCUAUAUGUAUAAAAACUUUUUACAUUUUCCGAUGAUAGUUA
Molecule: long non-coding RNA, 428 nt
Organism: Ananas comosus (pineapple)
Lineage: Eukaryota; Viridiplantae; Streptophyta; Magnoliopsida; Poales; Bromeliaceae
Exons: 4
Source: RefSeq, a predicted model, not a curated record